AUGGCGAGCACAGGCGACGAGAGCAAGCAGCCACCAGAGAAGCGCGCCCGACAUGACGGCGCCCAGGCCGCGCCGGCGCCGGCGCCGGCGCGCGUGCAGCUCAACCCGGUCGACUGCAACCUCGGUCAGUGCCUGCAUUUCCAUAUCCCCCGAAAUUCUCCACGCGCUCGCUCAACUCCGGUGGUGACGCGGCUCGUCUCUCUCUCUCUCCUCACCUCUCCAGAUUUCAUCGUCGGCCAUGGCGGGCUCCGGGGGCACGCGCUGCACGGGGGCGCGUUCGCCUACUGCUGGUCGGGGGCACGCGCCACGGCGGGGGUCCGGGGCGGCGGUAAGUACUGCUUCGGGUGCUGGGUGCUGGCGGAGCAGCCCGUGGAGAUGGAGGACACGGACGCCGGCCAGCGGCACCUCUGCCGCGUCGGCGUCUCCAGGGGGGACGACCCCGUGGGCGGCCUCGGGGAGGCCGGCGGCCAGAGCUUCGCGUUCGGGGGCACCGGCGGUAAGCCCCGCCACGACGGCAACCUGAUCGACGACGAGUUUGGGGUCGGCGACACGGUCGUCUGCGCCGUGGACCUGGAUGCCAGGCCCAUGGCCUCGAUCGGGUUCGCCAAGAACGGGCAGUGGCUCGGCAUCGCCCUGCCCUUUGAUGCCAGCCAGACCCAGACGGGGCUUGGUUUGGUUGAUGCUCCUGUGAAGCCAAUGCCGUGGGAGUCGGCGAUCUUCCCUCACGUUCUGCUCAAGAAUGUGAUGGUGGAUAUGCAGUUUAGCAUGGAGGACGGGCUGGAGCCGGUCAAUGGUUACCAGCCCUGGAGCUCACUUCUUGGUGAUGGCAAUGCUGUUCUUGGGCCUGCGUUUGCAGAACAGAGGGAGUGCGAGCGAGAUCCUGGUGAUGGUUGGCCUCCCGGCUUCUGGGAAGACUACUUGGGCAGAGAAGUGUGCCAGGGAGCAUCGAGAGAGACGAUUCGUGAUUCUCGGGAUCAAGCAUGCGCUGGAACAGAUGAAGGAUUGCUUAGCGAAAGAAAGAUUCCAGAUGCGCAAUUCGAUCGCUGGAUUGAUCGCGCUACUACAGUUGUCAACGGAUUGCUGCGCAUAGCUGAGAACGUCCCUCGCAACUACAUUCUCGACCAGGCGAACGUCGAAAGAAUCCCUCGCAUUCGUCUUCUGAACAGAUUCUCCAAUUUUGGCCGCAAAACUGCUGUGGUUGUUUUUCCGUCACCUGCUGAGCGAAAGUCAAGGUCCUCCAAGCGAUUCCGUGAAACAUGGAAGGAAGUGUCUGAUGAGGAGAUGAAUUUCCUCUCUAAGCUGCAAGAUUACCAUCCAGUGAAUGAAAAUUCAGAAAAGCCUAGGGAGGCGGCGGAUCGGGAUCGGGGUUUUUUGAAUCCUUUGAAAUGGCGCGUGCGAUUUGAAGAUGCUAGGGAGGCGGGGCGAUGGAUCAAUGGUCUGAUCUACUCGCAUCCGUCUCGUUGGAUGACGAUCCGAGAUGAAGAUGGAGAAAUUUUGGCCGGACGACAUCUCAACACUGACGAGGAACUUGCUAACGGUGCCUGUGGAUUGCGAAGAACAACCUGUCGUUGUGGAUCUUACGGAGGACGUGGACGGACCAAAGCCUACGCAGCGGUUUGGGGUCGUUUCUGGAUCCUUGCCGAUGAGGACGAAGACGAUGAUGAUCUGCAGGAAACGUCGGAUCGGCCGCCACCUACGCGUGGCUUGGGUUCGCCGUCGCGGGAGGCAGGGUUUCCCGUUUGCUACCUCGCGCCGUCCCACCCCGGGGAUUGCCGCGUUGGGCUCCGCCCGCCUCUCGGGUCUUCUGCGGCCGCGAUGCCGCCCAAGCCUCCUCCACCGAGGGUUGCGCCGGCGGUGAGGAACCCACCUGGGGCUGCGGGUGUCUCUACUGCUCAGGCAGCAGCCGCUGCCGCGCAGGCUCCCGCGCGUGCGGCGCCUCCGCCUAGGGUGGCUCCGCCGCCGCCUCGGGUGGCGCCUCCUCCGCCCCCGGCGAGGGUGGCCCCUCCUCAGCCCCCGAGGGCUGCGCCUCCUCCGCCGCCACCUAGGGCCGAGCCGCCGCCGCCCCAACGGCCGUGGCCGAGGCAGAUGGCAGCUCUUCUUAGGCACUACCUCGCCGGACCUCCGGUCCCGACCACUCCGCCGCAGCUGCCGGUCCCGCCCCGCCCCCCUACCCCUCCCCUCCCACCGCAUAUCCUCAUCGCCGUCGCCGCCAGUGCCGGCCUCGACCCUCCUCGCACUCGCGGCGGCAAGCAGCGAGCCGCUCCGGCCGAGGAUGCGCGGCAGCAGCAAGCAGCCCCUUCUUCCUCAUCCUUAAUGCUCCAUCCACCCCCAUGUGUUGUGAUGAACCAAUAUGCUCAUGUGACAACUUUGAUGCUUGUGACGACAUUUUUGUGUCAUAGCUCGAAUUUUGCCUUGCCAUUAUCGACGAACAUGCCUGGUUCAAUGGAACAUUUCGAUGAGGUAUUUUUUGUUGAGCUCUCCCGGGAUGAUGCUGAGAGAUACCUCAAUCCAGUGAGAAGUAACCGUGGAUCAAAUGUAUGGCUUACUCUCAAGACGCUUCUGCUCGAGGCUGGGGGAGUACAAGCCAUAAUCAGAGGCAGGGGAGAUCCAAUGUUUCAGAUAAGCAGUCCUCAAGUUCCAAUGCUCUCAAAUGCUCCAGCUGAAAAGGUGGCGGACUCUGGUUUCAUCCUGUCCAAGAAGCUUGAGCUAGGACAGGAAUACGAAGAAAUGGAUACGGAGUACAGCAACAUCAGGAAAAUGUCCAGGGGUGGCCAAGCUUCAGAAGCUGAAGAUGCUGCUUGGGUUGCAUUCGAAGCUCGCCUCGACAAAUGCAGAGCGAUGCAAAGAGAGAUAAGAAAUGCCAAAGGGGAUCCUGAGCCCAUCCCUGAGUGGUUCUUAUUGGGAAGGGAUUUCGUUCUGUUGAAGAAUCUUGAGCUUGAAGAGGAACUGAAAUCAAUGGUGAAAAGUCACAAGGAACUCACUGCGAUGACCGGGAGAGGCCAUGCCUCAGCAGCUGAGAUGGAAUCUGCUUCGGAUGCAUUCAAAGGUCACCUUAAGAAAUGCAGAGCGAUACAGAAAGAGGUAAGAGAGGCCAGAGGGGUUCCUCUGCCCAUACCCGAGGAGUUUUUGGACUACUAG
This 3138-nucleotide ribosomal RNA is filed under the name Triticum aestivum (bread wheat). RNAcentral describes it as "partial small subunit ribosomal RNA". Lineage: Eukaryota; Viridiplantae; Streptophyta; Magnoliopsida; Poales; Poaceae. The record is from RNAcentral.